This 253-nucleotide ribosomal RNA is filed under the name uncultured bacterium. RNAcentral describes it as "partial 16S ribosomal RNA". It matches the Rfam family "Bacterial small subunit ribosomal RNA", at positions 524 to 776 of the family's 1533-position model. The record is from RNAcentral.
UACGUAGGGUGCAAGCGUUGUCCGGAAUUAUUGGGCGUAAAGAGCUCGUAGGCGGUUUGUUGCGUCGGCUGUGAAAUCCCGAGGCUCAACCUCGGGUCUGCAGUCGAUACGAGUAAACUAGAGUGUUGCAGGGGAGACUGGAAUUCCUGGUGUAGCGGUGAAAUGCGCAGAUAUCAGGAGGAACACCGGUGGCGAAGGCGGGUCUCUGGGCAACAACUGACGCUGAGGAGCGAAAGCGUGGGGAGCGAACAGG